GAUGAACGCUGGCGGCGUGCCUAAUACAUGCAAGUCGAGCGAACAGACGAGGAGCUUGCUCCUCUGACGUUAGCGGCGGACGGGUGAGUAACACGUGGAUAACCUACCUAUAAGACUGGGAUAACUUCGGGAAACCGGAGCUAAUACCGGAUAAUAUAUUGAACCGCAUGGUUCAAUAGUGAAAGACGGUUUUGCUGUCACUUAUAGAUGGAUCCGCGCCGCAUUAGCUAGUUGGUAAGGUAACGGCUUACCAAGGCAACGAUGCGUAGCCGACCUGAGAGGGUGAUCGGCCACACUGGAACUGAGACACGGUCCAGACUCCUACGGGAGGCAGCAGUGGGGAAUCUUCGGCAAUGGGCGAAAGCCUGACGGAGCAACGCCGCGUGAGUGAAGAAGGUCUUCGGAUCGUAAAACACUGUUAUUAGGGAAGAACAAAUGUGUAAGUAACUAGGCACGUCUUGACGGUACCGAAUCAGAAAGCCACGGCUAACUACGUG
RNAcentral lists this ribosomal RNA (497 nucleotides) under uncultured bacterium. Its description in RNAcentral is "partial 16S ribosomal RNA". It matches the Rfam family "Bacterial small subunit ribosomal RNA", at positions 28 to 507 of the family's 1533-position model. The record is from RNAcentral.